Molecule: small nucleolar RNA, 75 nt
Organism: Mercurialis annua (annual mercury)
Lineage: Eukaryota; Viridiplantae; Streptophyta; Magnoliopsida; Malpighiales; Euphorbiaceae
Product: small nucleolar RNA Z155
Exons: 1
Source: RefSeq, a predicted model, not a curated record
GAUUGAUGUGAUGAUAACUUUGUCGGAAUAUUCUAUGUCGACUAAAUUAAUCAUACUACAAUUAUCUGAUUAUCU